This 446-nucleotide ribosomal RNA is filed under the name uncultured bacterium. RNAcentral's name for it is "partial 16S ribosomal RNA". It matches the Rfam family "Bacterial small subunit ribosomal RNA", at positions 338 to 795 of the family's 1533-position model. The record is from RNAcentral.
CCUACGGGUGGCUGCAGUCGAGAAUCAUUCACAAUGGGGGAAACCCUGAUGGUGCGACGCCGCGUGGGGGAAUGAAGGUCUUCGGAUUGUAAACCCCUGUCAUGUGGGAGCAAAUUAAAAAGAUAGUACCACAAGAGGAAGAGACGGCUAACUCUGUGCCAGCAGCCGCGGUAAUACAGAGGUCUCAAGCGUUGUUCGGAAUCACUGGGCGUAAGGCGUGCGUAGGCUGUUUCGUAAGUCGUGUGUGAAAGGCGCGGGCUCAACCCGCGGACGGCACAUGAUACUGCGAGACUAGAGUAAUGGAGGGGGAACCGGAAGUCUCGGUGUAGCAGGGAAAUGCGUAGAUAUCGAGAGGAACACUCGUGGCGAAGGCGGGUUCCUGGACAUUAACUGACGCUGAGGCACGAAGGCCAGGGGAGCGAAAGGGAUUAGAUACCCGAGUAGUC